This 120-nucleotide ribosomal RNA is filed under the name Penicillium arizonense. Lineage: Eukaryota; Fungi; Ascomycota; Eurotiomycetes; Eurotiales; Aspergillaceae. The record is from RNAcentral.
ACAUACGACCAUAGGGUGUGGAGAACAGGGCUUCCCGUCCGCUCAGCCGUACUUAAGCCACACGCCGGUAAGUUAGUAGUUAGGUGGGUGACCACUAGCGAAUCCUCACUGUUGUAUGUU